This is a long non-coding RNA of Hyla sarda, 419 nucleotides long. RefSeq lists it as uncharacterized. The transcript is spliced from 3 exons. NCBI's taxonomy places the organism in Eukaryota, Metazoa, Chordata, Amphibia, Anura, Hylidae. The record is from RefSeq and is a predicted model, not a curated record.
GCAGCUAGAAAAUAGUAUCCAUCCCAUGUGAAAAAAUGACUUUGACGUGUACCCCAACUCAACGGAGACUUCUCAGCAGCAUACGACUUUCAGCCAUGAACCACUAGGAAAAUGCUACCUAAUCCACUGGCACCAUGUUAUGGUAAGAAGAGCUGAGCAGAUCGAUAUACAUCAUAAAGACAAAGAGUGCCCAUUUAAUGGUUGUGGUGAUACCAAACUUCCUUCUGUUAAGCAACUGGAAAUGGCCCAGGCAAAGGAUGGUGCACAAGGAAACUGUACAGCACAGGACCAAAAAGAUUUAACAAUUUGUCUGCUGCAUUAACAUGGAGAAAACAGGAAACAAGUUCUUCUUUCUGGGAGAGGAGCUGUAACAUGGUCUCCUCCUUCUGUCAUCCCCUCUCACAGCAUAUAAGUACUAG